This is a long non-coding RNA of Penaeus monodon (black tiger shrimp), 1474 nucleotides long. RefSeq lists it as uncharacterized. The record is from RefSeq and is a predicted model, not a curated record. The transcript is spliced from 2 exons. Lineage: Eukaryota; Metazoa; Arthropoda; Malacostraca; Decapoda; Penaeidae.
CGCCCAUGGGGAACGCCAGCCGUUAGUCUGUUGUUUACUCCGUAUCGCUAUGAAUCGUAUAGUUUUAAUUUUGAGCAUAUUCUUCGUAGUGCAGAAAAGUAUUCCGUAGGCCGGGUCAUUUAUUUUAUGGGCCCGGGCAAAGCUAAACUCAUUCAGUAUUCCGUAUUUUCCAACGGAACGCAAGACAGGAUCAUGUGGCAAACUUGUCAGCAAGCGCAUCGGCCUAGCUAUAAAUACCGGGAGCGGCCGUAUCGUCCGUCAGUAGUGUGAGAGGCGGUCAGUGUGCAGGGUAUUUUUUUUUUCCCCUGUUGGUUAGAAAACAUGGAAGGUCAUAGCGAGAAAGGGAAGGUCUCUAUGGAAGAUCGCAGCGAGAAAGAGGUCUCAGUGGAAUAUGAUAGCGAGAAAAGGAAGGUGCCAAUAACCAUUUAUAACGAGAAAGGUGUAAAGAAUCUGAAGCGCAGCAAGGAUGACCAGGAAAUAAGUUUGAGUAUCAUCUUACUUCAUAUUAAUAUUUGGGUUACGAAACUUCUGCAUUAUUAAAGACGUCAGUGUUGCAUUUUGUUUACGCUCGCAAUAGCCCUAGGUAUUGUGGUUGCUGGUGUAGGAAUUUCCGUGUUACUUCGUGGGGGAGGCAAUGAAACAGUGCCUUACGACCACAACACAAUACUGGACAAAACCACAACUACCUACCUUACCCAUUCUACUGAAGAAGCUCCCGAAGUUACGCAGCCGCCCACCAGCAACCACCCACGACCAACCUAUGCUGACUCUGAAUCCUCUGAACUACACAUGGAAGCUGAUCGACGACAAAAUCAGUCGCUGGAGGGUCCAGAAUGUACCCCGCGUUUUCAUGAAGCGCUGCUGGCGUCGCUACUCAAUCCCAAAGACGAGCUUUUGGAUAAGAACAUCUAUCCCAAGAGAAUCAUAAUUGGAAAAUGUAUUGAGGACCACUGCAAAGACAAGAGGUUAAAGUGUCUGCCGGCCUCGGAUAGCACAGGGCUGAUAACUGUACUAGUGUUCUACGAGGAAAAUGGAAAACCUGUCUUCGUGAAAAGAACCGUCCCGAGCGAUUCCAGCUGCGAGUGCCUACCCUGCUUUACGCGAAACUGAGGUCCAAUCGCAUUCCACACUGCCCGGAGGUGCCCACAGGUAGCGAUGGGUCCGCUGGUUUCACUGGUCAUCUGUUCAAGCUGGUUUCACUGGUCGUCUGUUCAAGAAGCCUGAAUGUUGGUUUCUGAAUCAUUUACAUGCACGCAGAUCUAAUUUUAUUUAGAGCAUGUUUGAAAAAAGAAAAAGAGAAAAUAAAACGUAAAUAGUGCAAAUAUUUAUUUAUAUCCAUGGAUGUUAUGUGAUAUAUUAUAAUAUUAUUAUGAUAUGUAAAGAAAUAGAUAACGUUAUGAUAGGAAAAUAAGAUGUCAGAAUCACUGUCCAGGUUCAUGUACAAAGUUUAAAUAAAUAAAUAGUAUGAAAACUG